This 433-nucleotide ribosomal RNA is filed under the name uncultured bacterium. Its description in RNAcentral is "bacterial SSU rRNA". It matches the Rfam family "Bacterial small subunit ribosomal RNA", at positions 252 to 677 of the family's 1533-position model. The record is from RNAcentral.
GUGGGGUAAAGGCCUACCAAGGCGACGAUCAAUAGCUGUUCUGAGAGGAAGAUCAGCCACACUGGGACUGAGACACGGCCCAGACUCCUACGGGAGGCAGCAGUGGGGAAUCUUGGACAAUGGGGGCAACCCUGAUCCAGCGAUGCCGCGUGUGUGAAGAAGGCCUUAGGGUUGUAAAGCACUUUAAUGAGGGAGGAGUAGGGUUCGUUGAAUAGGCGGAUCUGAGGACGUUACCUCAAGAAUAAGCACCGGCUAACUCUGUGCCAGCAGCCGCGGUAAUACAGAGGGUGCGAGCGUUAAUCGGAAUUAUUGGGCGUAAAGGGCGCGUAGGCGGAUAAUCAAGUGGUAGGUGAAAGACCCGGGCUUAACCUGGGGAGGUCCUAUCAGACUGAUUGUCUAGAAUGUGGCAGAGGAAGGUGGAAUUCCUGGUGUA